RNAcentral lists this ribosomal RNA (395 nucleotides) under uncultured bacterium. Its description in RNAcentral is "bacterial SSU rRNA". It matches the Rfam family "Bacterial small subunit ribosomal RNA", at positions 30 to 429 of the family's 1533-position model. The record is from RNAcentral.
AUUGAACGCUGGCGGCAUGCCUUACACAUGCAAGUCGAACGGUAACGGGCCUUCGGGUGCCGACGAGUGGCGAACGGGUGAGUAAUGCAUCGGAACGUACCUUUCAGUGGGGGAUAACGUAGCGAAAGUUACGCUAAUACCGCAUAUUCUGUGAGCAGGAAAGCAGGGGAUCGCAAGACCUUGCGCUGAUUGAGCGGCCGAUGUCAGAUUAGCUAGUUGGUGAGGUAAAGGCUCACCAAGGCGACGAUCUGUAGCGGGUCUGAGAGGAUGAUCCGCCACACUGGAACUGAGACACGGUCCAGACUCCUACGGGAGGCAGCAGUGGGGAAUUUUGGACAAUGGGGGCAACCCUGAUCCAGCCAUGCCGCGUGAGUGAAGAAGGCCUCGGUUGUAAG